Non-coding RNA from Triticum urartu, 654 nucleotides. The record is from RefSeq and is a predicted model, not a curated record. Lineage: Eukaryota; Viridiplantae; Streptophyta; Magnoliopsida; Poales; Poaceae.
AGCUAACAAGAAAUACUUGAUGGAAGAUAUAACAAGGGUUCCUGAUGUUAAAUUAUUGGGAUUGGGCAUAACAGCAUGUGGACAUUCCUUUGGAGCCAGCUUAUUUCAUGUUCUGCGGAUGUGUACUGCAAUAAGAAGGCUGAAUCUUGGUCUUAUCGUCGCACCUGAACACGAGGCAGAAACUGUGUGCCCAUCAGGUUGUAUAUGUGAUCAGCCGCCAAGCUGGAAAACCAGGGAACUCGUGUUGAAUUGCCUCGAAGAAGUAGAAAUAUUUGACUUGAAAGGAAGUGAGCAUGAAAUCAGUGUUGUGAAUCGUCUAUUCAGUUGGGCACCGGUGCUAAAAAGGAUGACAGUAAAUUUCCAUUACUCGGUCACGGAAAACAAAGCUGAAGAGCUCUGCCAAGUGUUACUAACCUUUUCCAGGCCGGAAAUAUGUAUGAUUUGUAGGAUGCCCAACAUGUCGGAGAAAGUUUUGCAUGCUUAACAAGACACCAAUUUUUCCCCAGUAUCCAUUGAUUGUCAGUUGGGCGAGCAGCUUAUGUGAGACUGGACUAAACUAGUUUAAACUGUAGCGACAAUCUUCAUGUGCGUGUAGCUAGCUGCUAGUUUCCCUCUCCAUGAUUUAUGGUUUGAUACUCAUAUGCUUGGUAUGCA